Molecule: ribosomal RNA, 664 nt
Filed under: uncultured bacterium
Lineage: Bacteria
Description: bacterial SSU rRNA
Rfam family: Bacterial small subunit ribosomal RNA
Source: RNAcentral
CAAGGCAACGAUCCGUAGCCGGCCUGAGAGGGCGGUCGGCCACACUGACACUGACAUACGGGUCAGACUCCUACGGGAGGCAGCAGUCGGGAAUUUUGGGCAAUGGGCGAAAGCCUGACCCAGCAACGCCGCGUGAAGGAUGAAAUCCCUCGGGAUGUAAACUUCGCAAGAACGGGAAGAAUAAGUAGGGGACAAUACCCCCUAUGAUGACGGUACCGUUUGUAAGCUCCGGCUAACUCCGUGCCAGCAGCCGCGGUAAUACGGGGGGAGCAAGCGUUGUUCGGAUUUACUGGGCGUAAAGGGCGCGUAGGCGGCCAGUGCAAGUCAGUUGUGAAAUCUCCGAGCUUAACUCGGAAAGGUCAACUGAUACUGCUCGGCUAGAGUGCGGAAGGGGCAACUGGAAUUCUUGGUGUAGCGGUGAAAUGCGUAGAUAUCAAGAGGAACACCUGCGGCGAAGGCGGGUUGCUGGGCCGACACUGACGCUGAGGCGCGAAAGCUAGGGGAGCGAACGGGAUUAGAUACCCCGGUAGUCCUAGCCUUAAACGAUGAAUGCUUGGUGUCUGGGGUUAUAUAGUCCCCGGGUGCCGUCGCUAACGCUUUAAGCAUUCCGCCUGGGGAGUACGGUCGCAAGACUGAAACUCAAAGGAAUUGACGGAAUCGAAUU